This is a long non-coding RNA of Paramacrobiotus metropolitanus, 1180 nucleotides long. RefSeq lists it as uncharacterized. Lineage: Eukaryota; Metazoa; Tardigrada; Eutardigrada; Parachela; Macrobiotidae. The record is from RefSeq and is a predicted model, not a curated record. The transcript has 3 exons.
GCACAUGUCGAUUACUGUCAGAUCGGUGGCAAUAAGCGUGCACAAUUUAUUUGGCAGUUAGCUAAUUUAAUUGGCAACCGGCAACGCGUGCGCUUUUGACUGGUAAAAAUGAUGCACAGAACACAGCGGCAGUUCGCAAAUGAUACGCGUUGGGCGAAAUGUUUUCAGUUGAUCCUUGUGGGACUGAAUUCCUUCAGCGACUGCCGGCCUAUUACGGAAGGUGACAAUGCAGACAUUGAGGAGAAUGGGCGCUAUUCGUUGACGCUGUUGGAGGGCGGGAUUCUGCGCGUGGACACGAUGACCACGCUGGAGGCGGUACGGUAUGCUUAGCAAUAAUCUCUCCAGGAACUAAUGCACACGCUGGGCUUCCUGCACGAACACGCCUGGACGGACCGCGACGCGUACAUGUCGGUGCACAUGCAUGGACAAUCUCAUCGACUGUACGACUUUACACCUGUAUUACUUAUCCAGUUUCCCUAAAUCUCUUAUAGCGGAGGCCGUGCGAAACAACUUCCAGAACGGGUAUGUUAACGCCAGCACGUUGGGGUGGCCCUACGAUUACCAUUCCAUUAUGCACUACCCUUCCACCGCCUUCGGGAAAACCCCGUUGACCGUGACCAUCACCCCGAAACGAUCCUUUCCCAUUGGACAAAAUUAAAAUCUAAGCUACACGGAUAUAAUUCAUAUCCACGAAGCGUACAACUGUUCCGUGGAACACAAAGAAGAGGUCUUCCUGGUGGGUGAGUACCAUGCGUAUAACCAGUCGCAAGCCGAGCAUGUUUGCCACACGGUGGGCGCGGUGCUCGCGACGAAAUCACAGUUGCAAACAGCGCGGGACGCCGGCGCCAGUUGGUGUCUGUACGGUUGGCUGGUGGACGAUAUGACGGCGCCCACUUCCCCAAUAACAUGCAUGCACGCCCACCCGGAUGGCUGGUCCGGUCAGAUCGGGCGGAUUAGCCGGGUCGAAGAGGAGUUUUGUCACGGUUUUGUCACGACGGCCGGUUUCUGGCGACGUGUUACGGGGUCAAGUUGCGGAAGGAGCGAAGUUGGGAUGUGCCGGUGCAUCCUAACAGUUUUUGUGGAGUACACACGACCGCACUGUACGGCAGACCGAUGCAGUGAAUUUACCAGUUAUUUAAUAUUGUAACAUCAUGUUAUUUGUUACAUCUCCUUAAAAAGA